AACAUCAAUUUAUUUUAAUCGCCUACAGGUUAUAAGCAGGUAUCUUUGACUAUUUUUGUUUACUAUAAAGUUACCAUAUUUGUGUUUACUGUGGUGCGUAGAUCAAACCAAACUUAAGGUCGUUGCUGGGCGCCUGAUACUGAUAUAUACUAUAUUUCUUAAUAUUAUAAUUGAUGUAUUGGGAAUCAGCUGAUUCUACAUUU
Saccharomycodes ludwigii is the source of this 203-nucleotide small nucleolar RNA. NCBI's taxonomy places the organism in Eukaryota, Fungi, Ascomycota, Saccharomycetes, Saccharomycodales, Saccharomycodaceae. The record is from RefSeq and is a predicted model, not a curated record.